Molecule: ribosomal RNA, 428 nt
Filed under: uncultured Gammaproteobacteria bacterium
Lineage: Bacteria; Pseudomonadati; Pseudomonadota; Gammaproteobacteria
Description: uncultured gamma proteobacterium partial 16S ribosomal RNA
Rfam family: Bacterial small subunit ribosomal RNA
Source: RNAcentral
UGGGGAAUCUUGGACAAUGGGCGAAAGCCUGAUCCAGCAAUACCGCGUGUGUGAAGAAGGCCUUAGGGUUGUAAAGCACUUUCGGUGGGGAGGAGGUUAACUUUCUUUAAUAAAGAAAGUUGAUGACGUUACCCACAGAGGAAGCACCGGCUAACUCUGUGCCAGCAGCCGCGGUAAUACAGAGGGUGCAAGCGUUAAUCGGAAUUACUGGGCGUAAAGAGUGAGUAGGUGGUAAAUUAAGUUGUGUGUGAAAUCUUUAAGCUUAACAUAAAAACUGUAUAUAAUACUGAAUUACUAGAGUACUGUAGAGGGUAGUGGAAUUUCCGGUGUAGCGGUAAAAUGCGUAGAUAUCGGAAGGAACACCAGUGGCGAAGGCGGCUGCCUGGACAGAUACUGACACUAAUACACGAAAGCGUGGGCAGCAAACA